Molecule: non-coding RNA, 45 nt
Organism: Trichobilharzia regenti
Lineage: Eukaryota; Metazoa; Platyhelminthes; Trematoda; Strigeidida; Schistosomatidae
Source: Rfam
AUCCGGCUGAUAAGUUCCAAACAGGACGAAAUGUACAUCCUGGAA